AGUGAACGCUGGCGGUAGGCCUAACACAUGCAAGUCGAACGGCAGCACAGUAAGAGCUUGCUCUUACGGGUGGCGAGUGGCGGACGGGUGAGGAAUACAUCGGAAUCUACUUUUUCGUGGGGGAUAACGUAGGGAAACUUACGCUACUACCGCAUAUGAUCUACGGGUUAAAGCAGGGGUUCUUCGGACCUUGCGCGAUUGAAUGAGCCGAUGUCGGAUUAGCUAGUUGGCGGGGUAAAGGCCCACCAAGGCGACGCUCCGUAGCUGGUCUGAGAGGAUGAUCAGCCACACUGGAACUGAGACACGGUCCAGACUCCUACGGGAGGCAGCAGUGGGGAAAAUUGGACAAUGGGCGCAAGCCUGAUCCAGCCAUACCGCGUGGGUGAAGAAGGCCUUCGGGUCGUAAAGCCCUUUUGUUGGGAAAGAAAAGCAGCAGGUUAAUACCCCGCUGUUCUGACGGUACCCAAAGAAUAAGCACCGGCUAACUUCGUG
This 492-nucleotide ribosomal RNA is filed under the name uncultured bacterium. Its description in RNAcentral is "partial 16S ribosomal RNA". It matches the Rfam family "Bacterial small subunit ribosomal RNA", at positions 29 to 507 of the family's 1533-position model. The record is from RNAcentral.